GAAUUUUAUAUAAUUUUAUUAAGUAAGUUAGUUUAGUGGAGUUAGAUUGGUAAGCUUAUAUUUUAUUGGGAGGAUAGUUAAAUUAAAUAAACUUUAAUAAUUAUUAAGUCAUAGAUUUAUGAAAUAAAAAUAAAUGAGAAUGGUUAUUGAUUAAUUUAAAUAGAAUUAAUUACCUUAGGGAUAACAGCGUAAUAUUUUUAGAGAGAUCUUAUUAAUAAAGAUGAUUGC
This 228-nucleotide ribosomal RNA is filed under the name Pheidole meinertopsis. Its description in RNAcentral is "partial large subunit ribosomal RNA". The record is from RNAcentral. Lineage: Eukaryota; Metazoa; Arthropoda; Insecta; Hymenoptera; Formicidae.